CACAACCUCAAAAUAUUAACCAAAUGGCAAAGACCAGCAUCUCAAAAUCUCUCUUCGUCAUCCUUUUCAUUGUGCUACUUUUCUCAGGUAUUUACUUUUUCAAAGGCGAAUUUAUGAUAAAUAUAUUCUUACUUUUAAUUUAAGUAUCAAUACUUCUUUUAAAUCUAUUUCAGAAAUAAUGUAUUUUUUGUUAUAUUUGAUAACUUUUUAAAUUCAAGCGUUUUACUUUGGAUCGCUUUAAAUCACAAGAUGUAAAAGACAUUUUGCGCCACAUGCAUGAGUCAUAUUUAAUUAUAAAAUUACAAAAUUUAAAGUCUCAUUUUUUUAAAAAAAAACUUCAUGUAUAGUCAAUGUUUUCUUUCUUUUUGUACUUGAAUUUGUUGCGUCUGAGUUUAAAAAUAAUUUUUUCACCUUCACGAGGUAGUGAUAAAGUCUGAAUAUACUUUAUUUUUUUUGAAUUUUACUGGAUAUGUGGUAGUUGUUAUUGUCGUCGUCUGGUGAAACUAAGACACUUAACUUGAAACGAUUGAAGUAAAAUAUUACUCCCCUGUCUCAUUUUAUAUAUCGUUAUUUUCGUUUUAGUCCGUCCCAAAAAGAAUGUCACAUUUCCUUAUUUGAUAAUUAUUUAAUGACAUCAUUCUUAUUUUAUCCUUAGUGGUCCCAUUUAUUAAGAAAAGAUAAUUAAAAAGUAAUAUUAAGAGAGACAGUUUUGUAAAUUUUACAAAGUCAUCACUUAUUUCUUAAAUUUCGUGCCCAAUCAAAUAACUACAAAUAAAAUGAGACAAAAAUAGUACUGGUUAUAACAAUGAUUUUGACACUAACAAAUUUUGUUGCUGCAGUUGAGGAGAUAGGGGUUGAGGCAAAAGAAUGUCAAGAAAAGCUGACGCAUAAUCAUUGUGAUUAUAGCAAAGCAGACCUGGUAUGCUUGCACGAUUGCCAAUAUAGACACGGUCAAAGUGUCAAAACCAGUUGCACCAAGUAUUGUAUUUGUACCUGGGAAUGUAAUUAAUGUCUUAAGUACUAGUUUAUACUAUAUAAAGUACACUCCUAUUCUCAAAGGUCCAUGUUUUGUUUUUGAUUCAUUUAUAAGAAAUAAUAUUUGUCGGAUGAAUUAAGAUUGAUUUUUUGCCUAUUUACAAAAUGAACUAAAAAGAAAUUCGGA
Molecule: long non-coding RNA, 1162 nt
Filed under: Capsicum annuum
Lineage: Eukaryota; Viridiplantae; Streptophyta; Magnoliopsida; Solanales; Solanaceae
Description: long non-coding RNA (CANN_LNC011800)
Source: RNAcentral